Long non-coding RNA from Papaver somniferum (opium poppy), 611 nucleotides. RefSeq lists it as uncharacterized. The record is from RefSeq and is a predicted model, not a curated record. The transcript has 2 exons. Lineage: Eukaryota; Viridiplantae; Streptophyta; Magnoliopsida; Ranunculales; Papaveraceae.
UAUCGGACUUGUUAUACACUCCAAAGUCUCAUCUGAAAGCACGCACAGCAAACUCAAAACCUAAAGCCACCAAAACCCUACCGCUUACCUUAACAAAUCUACCUCUUUCCUCUUUUCACAUCAAUGGCGCUCCCGGUUUCAGUAGACAAAGUGAAGGAUUAUCUGUUCUCACAGUAUUACGACGAAGCCAAAUGGGAAUUGAAUAAGAAACUGUUGCGGGCAGCAGGCCUGUUUGGAGGUUCCAUUCUUGUGAUGCGCAAUUUUGGUGAUAUCAUGGCUGUCUGAAGAUAUUGCAUCAUGCUGCUGCAUUUUAAGUUCCUGAAUGUUUUUCUUCUAAUCUAGAUUUUCAUGAAACAAUGGUAGCUUUACUUUUGGAAUUUACCUAUAGAAAUAUGAUGUAAUGUGAGGCAAAAGGAUUGCUGCAGUGAAGAAUCAAACAUGAUGGUACAGUGAUCAGAUUCGGUUAUAAUUAUGUUUCAUAUGGUACAGUGAUCAGAUUCGGUUAUAAUUAUGUUUCAUAUGGUACAGUGAUCAGAUUCGGUUAUAAUUAUGUUUCAUAUGGUACAGUGAUCAGAUUCGGUUAUAAUUAUGUUUCAUCUUCUUCUUUCUUA